This 72-nucleotide transfer RNA is filed under the name Ricinus communis (castor bean). The record is from Rfam by way of RNAcentral. Lineage: Eukaryota; Viridiplantae; Streptophyta; Magnoliopsida; Malpighiales; Euphorbiaceae.
AGGGAUACAAUAGCUUGGUAGCGCGUUUGUUUUGGGUACAAAAUGCCACGGGUUCAAAUCCUGUCAUCCCUA